GAUGAACGCUGGCGGCGUGCCUAAUACAUGCAAGUAGAACGCUGAAGGAGGAGCUUGCUCUUCUGGAUGAGUUGCGAACGGGUGAGUAACGCGUAGGUAACCUGCCUGGUAGCGGGGGAUAACUAUUGGAAACGAUAGCUAAUACCGCAUGACAACAGUUAUUGCAUGAUAACUGUUUAAAAGGGGCAACUGCUCCACUACCAGAUGGACCUGCGUUGUAUUAGCUAGUUGGUGAGGUAACGGCUCACCAAGGCGACGAUACAUAGCCGACCUGAGAGGGGGAUCGGCCACACUGGGAAUGAGACACGGCCCAGACUCCUACGGGAGGCAGCAGUAGGGAAUCUUCGGCAAUGGACGGAAGUCUGACCGAGCAACGCCGCGUGGGUGAAGAAGGGUUUCGGAUCGGAAAGCUCUGUUGUAAGAGAAGAACGAGUGUGAGAGUGGAAAGUUCACACUGUGACGGUAUCUUACCAGAAAGGGACGGCUAACUACGUG
This 495-nucleotide ribosomal RNA is filed under the name uncultured bacterium. RNAcentral describes it as "partial 16S ribosomal RNA". It matches the Rfam family "Bacterial small subunit ribosomal RNA", at positions 28 to 507 of the family's 1533-position model. The record is from RNAcentral.